Amphiprion ocellaris (clown anemonefish) is the source of this 3508-nucleotide long non-coding RNA. The record is from Ensembl. NCBI's taxonomy places the organism in Eukaryota, Metazoa, Chordata, Actinopteri, Pomacentridae.
CGUCAGGGGCACGCCCCGCUUCCCGUUUGCCUCACUUCCUGUUUGCCUCACUUCCUGUUUACCAUUGCUGACAGGGUCACUGUUGGGUGUCCAUAGCCAGAGAGCUGAGCCGCUCGCUGGCUGCUGUAUGUCCAGUUCGAGCCGUGAGCCGCUCGUGAGCCGUUACUGAAGCUGUGGGCCUCCGGUGGCGGGGACUGGUGUCUUCGGGUGGUGGGAACCCCUUCCUGUGUGGUGUGCUGCUCAUCCCCUGGUUGUUUUAUUUAUUUCUUCACUCAGGGUGAGUAAUCGUACCUGAUCACAGGAUUCCUGCUUGGCGAUAGCUCCUAGCCCGGCUAAACGGAAGUGAUGUUACCUUGGCGCUGAGAGGAAGUGCAGACAACGCAGUUUGCAAAUACACGAACGUGACACUUUCAGCGGAUCAGAGUAGCUGGAUUUCUCAAUGUUUGGACUCUGUAGCGGGAUAUGAAGAAGUCAGUAUCUCAGUUGGUCAGAGAAGAAGCUGACAGGCUGGAUGAGCAAGCACAUCCAAACACCCCGUCGCCGAGACAGUCGGAUUCAACGCUGUUAACAAGAGACCCCAUUGAUGCUGAGGUGUCAAGACUUUUCUUGUCAUACCAGACCUCUUCACGGUCUCUGACCCCACGUCACAGGCCAAUGCUAUUUCCAAGAAGCUGUGCUGUUUCGUACUCACCACAGCAACUUCUGGACUGCAUCAUUUGGCCAGUGGAAUCCGAUAGUGAUGAGGACACAAGUCUGGAGGAAAAGUGCCAUAUCUCUGGAUUUCUGAGAGAAUACAUUGAAAAUGCCUCCUCACGAUGUUUUCAGGAACUUCUGAAGUUCUGGCAGGGGUGGAAGGUUCUUCCAAAAGAGCUGCAUGUGGAAAUUGUGCAUGGACAAAUGCCUCAGUCAAGCACAUGCAUGGAGACUCUUCGGCUGCCUUCACGCUAUAAGUCUUAUGAUGUUUUCUGUGAGGCUCUGAACGCAGCAGUCAGUUCUGUUCAAACAGGGUUUGGACUUGUUUAAAGUCACAACUUCAAGUGUUAUGCAGCCAAUUAAUGUUACCAAAAUGCAUAAAAUGUUAAAGCAGAUAUGUUUAGUUGUUUUGACAAUUGUUCUGAUGUGAUGUAAGCUUGUGAGGCAAAUGCAUGCUUCAGGAGAAGGUUCACAACAGUUCUUGUUUUUUCUGCUGCCAGGCUCAAAUUGUUGUGUGUGACAUUUAACAUGUAACAGAAAUGUGGCGGCCAGUGAGUUGUUGCAGGAAGACAGUUUAAAGGUGAGAGUUGAGAGAGUGAAUUAAUGGAGUAGCUUAUUUUUAUGUAAAAGAUUACAAACCUGAACUAUGGUUCAGGUUUGUGCAUUUCUGAACUGUGACAACAAAAUGUUUCCACACUUGGAGAAGACUGUGUUUGGGGAACAGUUGUAAUAUAAAUGUGUGGAAGUUAAAGAAAAGAAUUAUCAGUUCUGUUAAAAAAUGUUUUUUUUAUUGGCACAUUGUUUUAAUGCUUUCAAAUUAUUCAGCAUGCAAUAAAAGCAGUUUUGUAUCCCUUUGUUAUGUCUUGCUUUUUUACAUUUUUGUUUUCACAGGCAUUUAUUUGAAAUUCACAACUUGUCAUAAAAUUAUGCACCAAAAAUUUGCAGCAUUCUUUCAAGUCUUGUUCGACCAUUUCAAACGGUUUCAUUCUGAUCAUGUUAAGGUGAGUUGUGAUAGGCCUAGGUUUGUUGAAAAAUGUUCUUAAGAAUAUUGCUCUCAGCUCUCGUAGGAGGCGGUCGCACUUUUCCUUGCUCCGCUAUCUCUGUUCCUCCCUACCCUCAUGUCUCCCUGCUUGCUGCAUUUCUUCGUCUUCGUCUCGUUUGUCUGACUUGGAGCGAUUGCUUGGCACUGGACCUUUGAAACACCGAUCAUGGAAUUGAUUAACUGGUCUCUCAACGCAAUUGACAAGAUUGUCGCCACAAAGAGCACAGGCCUAGGGGAGCCUACCUGCCCGGAUGGGAGUUUCGCCUCUGGUUACGUGAUCGACGCCUGGGGGAAGUGGAAGGGGAUCAUGUGCCUGGCACCCCUAUCCGUGGAGGACGUGGAAGAUGUUUAUAUAUUUGGAUUUAUGAUGACAGGCCUGCUGAUAAUCGGCUUGUUCACUGGCCUGAGCUUCUGGAAAAUCAGGAAGACCGCAGACAGAAAUGACGUCCAAACUCUGCUGGUCUAUGCAAACGAACGGAUCAUGGCUGCCGAUUCUCGGUAUGACGAACUCAAUCGUAAGAUGAACAAUUUGCUUGGUGUGACUGUUGAUUUGAGUCGCAGAUUGGAAGCCAUUAGGGUGAGAAUCGCUACAGCUGAGGUCUAAAAUUGUUGAUGUAUGCCCGGAAGGUGAAAUUGUUCCUCUCUCCUGACCAAACAAGAAGGAAACUGAUUACAUUCUGGCGCCCCUGGAACAAUAACAAACUCCUCUGGAAGUUUCAUGGCCAAGAGAUAGCUCUCCUAAACCCCCCCCACUUUCCCAAGGACACCUGUUGACUUUUGGACCGGGCCAACCGAGGACGUCUCCAUAGCAACCUUGCUGUGUUAUCGCGCUCCCACCCUCGCGAAUCUGAGACACCGGAGGUCUGAGACGGAAGAAGAUGGGCUACACACAUACACAAACAUUCGGACUCAUGAACUGAGGACUGAGCUAAACAUUCGCACAGACAUUCCCAUAUCCCCCUCCCCCCCGCUUCCACAAGCUUCCCUCGCUAUGCACAGGAGCCAGGAAUCCGUGCACUUGCACAGGAACCGGCUAACUGUGCGGUGCUCCCCCCUCCACCACCCCACAUCCUUAUCCCAACUAUCCUUUUCUAACGUCAUGCUUUGCCUGUUUGUGGGUUUGUUUUUUUAGGUUCCUUCUCAAAUUGAAUUUCCCAACAUUGGAGGUUUCAUUUGGUACAACGAGCCUUUUUUUUCCUUUACCCUUUGCAAUCCCUACCCAGAUCCCAACAUGUCCUUUUUCUUUUUUUCUUCAAGAAAGGUGCGCGCAGCACUGCGCAGCAGCCGGAGCUGUCAUUGGCAGGGCAGCUCAAAUGAAAUUUCGUUGUAUAUGAAAAUGUGCAAUGACCAAUAAAGAUUGAUUGAUUGAUUGAUACACUGUAUCCAUGUAUGCCCGUAGUGCAGCAGAAAAAGGGACUGCCGGAUCAGACAAUGAUGUAACUUCAGCCUGGGUAAGCUGCUGGGGUAGUUGUGCAUCAGGUACAGUGACACCCUCUGGGUAUGGGGUGUGAGGUCCUGUCCAGUCUAUUCCAUAAUCAGCAGCAACCUGAAAGGAAAGCAUAAUUUGAAAGCAAGCCCUUUUAUUAAGAAAUGCACAUUCCUCAAGGAAAAAAAAAUUAAGAAGUAAAUGAGAUUAGGAACUACAUGGUAUGGCAAAACGGCAAGUGAACCGUCUAGUACCACAGCAGAAAUAAUAAAGUUAACAUAAAUAAAUAUAAAGGAAGACAGGAAGGUAGAGGUACAAGAGGGAAUUUGUACCUCAACUGGAUCAGC